UCCACCCCAUUUUUAUUGCCAUUGAACACAAAAUUUGAAUAUGAUUUCAGAUAAAAUCAACAAUGAAAUGAAUAGUUCAUUAGCCUAUAUAUGAUUUUUUUAGCAAUGAUAGACCCAUACAAAAUGUGUAUAUUAUAUGCUAUCACCAGCUAGAUUGUCCAGUGCUUCGAACGACACCAGGAACAACAUUGUAAUGUCUUGAUAAAUAUUCAUAUUUUCCACUUUUUAGACACUUUUCUUUUAUUGAAAGGAAGUUAUCAUGGUGUUUAGUUGCUGUAUGACCAAUUAUUAUAUUUGCAUAAUCAGACUCCUCCUCACAGUUGUAGCAUUUAGUCAUUUUCGGUUUCCAUUUCUUAAACAAUAAAAUAAAUAAUACAAGAUACAAGACAAAUAGAUAAUGAAAUAUCUAAGAUGUAUACUCUUUUAAGAACAAACAUACAUCUCAUCUUAUACAAUACAUGUAUGUACGUCUUAAUUCGAAUUGUCUAUGCUUAUGUUCCGGAC
RNAcentral lists this long non-coding RNA (504 nucleotides) under Mytilus galloprovincialis (Mediterranean mussel). The record is from RNAcentral. Lineage: Eukaryota; Metazoa; Mollusca; Bivalvia; Mytilida; Mytilidae.